AACGCUAGCGGGAUGCUUUACACAUGCAAGUCGAACGGCAGCACGAGAGAGCUUGCUCUCUUGGUGGCGAGUGGCGGACGGGUGAGUAAUAUAUCGGAACGUGCCUAGUAGCGGGGGAUAACUACUCGAAAGAGUGGCUAAUACCGCAUACGCCCUACGGGGGAAAGGGGGGGAUCGCAAGACCUCUCACUAUUAGAGCGGCCGAUAUCGGAUUAGCUAGUUGGUGGGGUAAAGGCUCACCAAGGCAACGAUCCGUAGCUGGUUUGAGAGGACGACCAGCCACACUGGGACUGAGACACGGCCCAGACUCCUACGGGAGGCAGCAGUGGGGAAUUUUGGACAAUGGGGGAAACCCUGAUCCAGCCAUCCCGCGUGUAUGAUGAAGGCCUUCGGGUUGUAAAGUACUUUUGGCAGAGAAGAAAAGGUACCUCCUAAUACGAGGUACUGCUGACGGUAUCUGCAGAAUAAGCACCGGCUAACUACGUGCCAGCAGCCGCGGUAAUACGUAGGGUGCAAGCGUUAAUCGGAAUUACUGGGCGUAAAGCGUGUGUAGGCGGUUCGGAAAGAAAGAUGUGAAAUCCCAGGGCUUAACCUUGGAACUGCAUUUUUAACUGCCGAGCUAGAGUAUGUCAGAGGGGGGUAGAAUUCCACGUGUAGCAGUGAAAUGCGUAGAUAUGUGGAGGAAUACCGAUGGCGAAGGCAGCCCCCUGGGAUAAUACUGACGCUCAGACACGAAAGCGUGGGGAGCAAACAGGAUUAGAUACCCUGGUAGUCCACGCCCUAAACGAUGUCAACUAGCUGUUGGGGCCGUUAGGCCUUAGUAGCGCAGCUAACGCGUGAAGUUGACCGCCUGGGGAGUACGGUCGCAAGAUUAAAACUCAAAGGAAUUGACGGGGACCCGCACAAGCGGUGGAUGAUGUGGAUUAAUUCGAUGCAACGCGAAAAACCUUACCUACCCUUGACAUGUCUGGAAUCCCGAAGAGAUUUGGGAGUGCUCGCAAGAGAACCGGAACACAGGUGCUGCAUGGCUGUCGUCAGCUCGUGUCGUGAGAUGUUGGGUUAAGUCCCGCAACGAGCGCAACCCUUGUCAUUAGUUGCUACGCAAGAGCACUCUAAUGAGACUGCCGGUGACAAACCGGAGGAAGGUGGGGAUGACGUCAAGUCCUCAUGGCCCUUAUGGGUAGGGCUUCACACGUCAUACAAUGGUCGGGACAGAGGGUCGCCAACCCGCGAGGGGGAGCCAAUCUCAGAAACCCGAUCGUAGUCCGGAUCGCAGUCUGCAACUCGACUGCGUGAAGUCGGAAUCGCUAGUAAUCGCGGAUCAGAAUGUCGCGGUGAAUACGUUCCCGGGUCUUGUACACACCGCCCGUCACACCAUGGGAGUGGGUUUCACCAGAAGUAGGUAGCCUAACCGUAAGGAGGGCGCUUACCACGGUGGGAUUCAUGACUGGGGUGAAGUCGUAACAAGGUAGCCGUA
RNAcentral lists this ribosomal RNA (1477 nucleotides) under uncultured bacterium. Its description in RNAcentral is "bacterial SSU rRNA". It matches the Rfam family "Bacterial small subunit ribosomal RNA". The record is from RNAcentral.